This 1361-nucleotide ribosomal RNA is filed under the name uncultured bacterium. RNAcentral describes it as "bacterial SSU rRNA". It matches the Rfam family "Bacterial small subunit ribosomal RNA", at positions 28 to 1381 of the family's 1533-position model. The record is from RNAcentral.
AUUGAACGCUGGCGGUAGGCCUAACACAUGCAAGUCGAGCGGUAGCACAGAGAGCUUGCUCUCGGGUGACGAGCGGCGGACGGGUGAGUAAUGUCUGGGAAACUGCCUGAUGGAGGGGGAUAACUACUGGAAACGGUAGCUAAUACCGCAUAACGUCGCAAGACCAAAGUGGGGGACCUUCGGGCCUCAUGCCAUCAGAUGUGCCCAGAUGGGAUUAGCUAGUAGGUGGGGUAACGGCUCACCUAGGCGACGAUCCCUAGCUGGUCUGAGAGGAUGACCAGCCACACUGGAACUGAGACACGGUCCAGACUCCUACGGGAGGCAGCAGUGGGGAAUAUUGCACAAUGGGCGCAAGCCUGAUGCAGCCAUGCCGCGUGUGUGAAGAAGGCCUUCGGGUUGUAAAGCACUUUCAGCGGGGAGGAAGGCGGUGAGGUUAAUAACCUCAUCGAUUGACGUUACCCGCAGAAGAAGCACCGGCUAACUCCGUGCCAGCAGCCGCGGUAAUACGGAGGGUGCAAGCGUUAAUCGGAAUUACUGGGCGUAAAGCGCACGCAGGCGGUCUGUCAAGUCGGAUGUGAAAUCCCCGGGCUCAACCUGGGAACUGCAUUCGAAACUGGCAGGCUAGAGUCUUGUAGAGGGGGGUAGAAUUCCAGGUGUAGCGGUGAAAUGCGUAGAGAUCUGGAGGAAUACCGGUGGCGAAGGCGGCCCCCUGGACAAAGACUGACGCUCAGGUGCGAAAGCGUGGGGAGCAAACAGGAUUAGAUACCCUGGUAGUCCACGCCGUAAACGAUGUCGAUUUGGAGGUUGUGCCCUUGAGGCGUGGCUUCCGGAGCUAACGCGUUAAAUCGACCGCCUGGGGAGUACGGCCGCAAGGUUAAAACUCAAAUGAAUUGACGGGGGCCCGCACAAGCGGUGGAGCAUGUGGUUUAAUUCGAUGCAACGCGAAGAACCUUACCUGGUCUUGACAUCCACAGAACUUUCCAGAGAUGGAUUGGUGCCUUCGGGAACUGUGAGACAGGUGCUGCAUGGCUGUCGUCAGCUCGUGUUGUGAAAUGUUGGGUUAAGUCCCGCAACGAGCGCAACCCUUAUCCUUUGUUGCCAGCGGUUAGGCCGGGAACUCAAAGGAGACUGCCAGUGAUAAACUGGAGGAAGGUGGGGAUGACGUCAAGUCAUCAUGGCCCUUACGACCAGGGCUACACACGUGCUACAAUGGCAUAUACAAAGAGAAGCGACCUCGCGAGAGCAAGCGGACCUCAUAAAGUAUGUCGUAGUCCGGAUUGGAGUCUGCAACUCGACUCCAUGAAGUCGGAAUCGCUAGUAAUCGUAGAUCAGAAUGCUACGGUGAAUACGUUCCCGGGUCU